AUGUGCAGGGGGUAUGUUAAUUUCCAGUCACUGCUAUAAGCUACUAACAUCUCCUUGUACAUGCCAACAUGUGAAGUUCCAAGAAGCCAUUACUCUAGCUGAUGGUAGCAUGAAACUUGUUGAAUCCAUGGAGGGAAUUGUGAAGAGCAGUCAACAGGUUGGAGUUGGAGGUGGCUUUGCUGGAACAUCUUAUUCAUUUUUGCAAAGAAUAGGUGCAAUAAGGGUUGGAUGAUUAGAGAAAUUUUAGCAGUACUUUAAAAUGUAUCAAGCUACCCCUCCGUCUAUAUAAAUUAUAAUGUAAAUGAAUUUAUAAUUUGACUUGGGUAA
Long non-coding RNA from Carya illinoinensis, 327 nucleotides. RefSeq lists it as uncharacterized. The record is from RefSeq and is a predicted model, not a curated record. Lineage: Eukaryota; Viridiplantae; Streptophyta; Magnoliopsida; Fagales; Juglandaceae. The transcript is spliced from 2 exons.